UACGGGGGGUGCAAGCGUUAUUCGGAAUCAUUGGGCGUAAAGGGCGCGUAGGCGGUCUUUUAAGUCAGAUGUGAAAGCCCUCGGCUUAACCGAGGAAGUGCAUUUGAUACUAAAAGACUUGAGUAUGGGAGAGGGAAGCGGAAUUCCUGGUGUAGCGGUGAAAUGCGUAGAUAUCAGGAGGAACACCGGUGGCGAAGGCGGCUUCCUGGACCAAUACUGACGCUGAGGCGCGACGGCGUGGGGAGCAAACAGG
RNAcentral lists this ribosomal RNA (253 nucleotides) under uncultured bacterium. Its description in RNAcentral is "partial 16S ribosomal RNA". It matches the Rfam family "Bacterial small subunit ribosomal RNA", at positions 524 to 776 of the family's 1533-position model. The record is from RNAcentral.